RNAcentral lists this ribosomal RNA (41 nucleotides) under Gnetum leyboldii var. woodsonianum. RNAcentral's name for it is "partial 18S ribosomal RNA". The record is from RNAcentral. Lineage: Eukaryota; Viridiplantae; Streptophyta; Gnetopsida; Gnetales; Gnetaceae.
AGAAGUCGUAACAAGGUUACCGUAGGUGAACCUGCGGUAGG